UUGAGAUUUUAACACGAAGUGAGUGGCGAACGGGUGAGUAACACGUGGGUAACCUGCCCAGAAGUAGGGGAUAACACCUGGAAACAGAUGCUAAUACCGUAUAACAGAGAAAACCGCAUGGUUUUCUUUUAAAAGAUGGCUCUGCUAUCACUUCUGGAUGGACCCGCGGCGUAUUAGCUAGUUGGUGAGGUAAAGGCUCACCAAGGCAGUGAUACGUAGCCGACCUGAGAGGGUAAUCGGCCACAUUGGGACUGAGACACGGCCCAGACUCCUACGGGAGGCAGCAGUAGGGAAUCUUCCACAAUGGACGCAAGUCUGAUGGAGCAACGCCGCGUGAGUGAAGAAGGGUUUCGGCUCGUAAAGCUCUGUUGUUAAAGAAGAACGUGGGUAAGAGUAACUGUUUACCCAGUGACGGUAUUUAACCAGAAAGCCACGGCUAACUACGUGCCAGCAGCCGCGGUAAUACGUAGGUGGCAAGCGUUAUCCGGAUUUAUUGGGCGUAAAGCGAGCGCAGGCGGUCUUUUAAGUCUAAUGUGAAAGCCUUCGGCUCAACCGAAGAAGUGCAUUGGAAACUGGGAGACUUGAGUGCAGAAGAGGACAGUGGAACUCCAUGUGUAGCGGUGAAAUGCGUAGAUAUAUGGAAGAACACCAGUGGCGAAGGCGGCUGUCUGGUCUGCACUGACGCUGAGGCUCGAAAGCUGGGUAGCGAACAGGAUAGAUCCGUGGUAGUCCUGCCGUAACGAUGAUUACUAAUGUUGGAGGGUUCCGCCCUUCAGUGCUGCACUACGCAUUAGUAAUCCGCCGGGGAGUACGACCGCAGGUUGAAACUCAAAGAUUGACGGGGGCCGCACAGCGGUGGACCUGUGGUUAAUUCGAGCUACCGAAAACCUUACAGGUCUUGACUCUUCUGAAGUCUAGAGAUAGAGGUCCCUUCGGGACAGAUGACAGGUGUGCAGGUUGUCUCAGCUCUGUCGGAAAGUUGGUUAAUUCCGCAACAAGGCAACCUUAUACUAUUGCCGCAUUACUUGGGCCUCUAUGAGAUGCCGGGACAACCGGAGGAGGGGGGACGCCUCAAUCAUAUGCCCUUUGACGGGGUACCCCGGCUCAAUGAUGGACACGAUCCCGGACCGGUUAGCUAUCUUAAACCUUUCCGUGGGAGGGGGGGGCAUCCCCACCAAUUCGAAUCCUUUACACCGGAAACAUCCCGGGGAAAAUUCCCGGGCUUUAAACCCCCGCCCCCUGAAAUUUA
RNAcentral lists this ribosomal RNA (1249 nucleotides) under Pediococcus pentosaceus. RNAcentral's name for it is "partial 16S ribosomal RNA". It matches the Rfam family "Bacterial small subunit ribosomal RNA", at positions 72 to 1405 of the family's 1533-position model. Lineage: Bacteria; Bacillati; Bacillota; Bacilli; Lactobacillales; Lactobacillaceae. The record is from RNAcentral.